This 73-nucleotide transfer RNA is filed under the name Camelus dromedarius (Arabian camel). It matches the Rfam family "tRNA". From Rfam's summary of the family: Transfer RNA (tRNA) molecules are approximately 80 nucleotides in length. Their secondary structure includes four short double-helical elements and three loops (D, anti-codon, and T loops). Lineage: Eukaryota; Metazoa; Chordata; Mammalia; Artiodactyla; Camelidae. The record is from Rfam by way of RNAcentral. RNAcentral also lists the same sequence under 1 other name.
GAGGGUAUAGCUCAAAUGGUAAAGUGUAUGCUUAGCAUGCAUGAGAUCAUGGAUUCAAUCCCCAGUACCUCCU